Molecule: ribosomal RNA, 1098 nt
Filed under: uncultured ammonia-oxidizing bacterium
Lineage: Bacteria
Description: bacterial SSU rRNA
Rfam family: Bacterial small subunit ribosomal RNA
Source: RNAcentral
CUUAAGUGGGGAAUAACGCAUCGAAAGGUGUGCUAAUAUCGCAUAAUCUCUGAGGAGAAAAGCAGGGGAUCGCAAGACCUUGCGCUUUUGGAGCGGCCGAUGUCUGAUUAGCUUGUUGGUAAGGUAAAAGCUUACCAAGGCUUCGAUCAGUAGCUGGUCUGAGAGGACGACCAGUCACACUGGGACUGAGUCACGGCCCAGACUCCUACGGGAGGCAGCAGUGGGGAAUUUUGGACAAUGGGGGCAACCCUGAUCCAGCCAUGCCGCGUGAGUGAAGAAGGCCUUCGGGUUGUAAAGCUCUUUCAGCCGGAACGAAACGGUUACGGUUAAUACCCGUGACUACUGACGGUACCGGAAGAAGAAGCACCGGCUAACUACGUGCCAGCAGCCGCGGUAAUACGUAGGGUGCGAGCGUUAAUCGGAAUUACUGGGCGUAAAGCGUGCGCAGGUGGUUUUGUAAGUCAGAUGUGAAAUCCCCGGGCUCAACCUGGGAACUGCGUUUGAAACUACAAGGCUAGAGUGUGGCAGAGGGGGGUGGAAUUCCGCGUGUAGCAGUGAAAUGCGUAGAGAUGUGGAGGAACACCGAUGGCGAAGGCAGCCCCCUGGGUCAACACUGACGCUCAGGCACGAAAGCAUGGGGAGCAAACAGGAUUAGAUACCCUGGUAGUCCAUGCCCUAAACGAUGUCAACUAGUUGUCGGGCCUUAACGGGCUUGGUAACGUAGCUAACGCGUGAAGUUGACCGCCUGGGGAGUACGAUCGCAAGAUUAAAACUCAAAGGAAUUGACGGGGACCCGCACAAGCGGUGGAUUAUGUGGAUUUAUUCGAUGCAACGCGAAAAACCUUACCUACCCUUGACAUGUAUCGAAGCCCGCAGAAAAGCGGGGGUGCCCGAAAGGGAACGAUAACACAGGUGCUGCAUGGCUGUCGUCAGCUCGUGUCGUGAGAUGUUGGGUUAAGUCCCGCAACGAGCGCAACCCUUGUCAUUAAUUGCCAUCAUUUAGUUGGGCACUUUAAUGAGACUGCCGGUGACAAACCGGAGGAAGGUGGGGAUGACGUCAAGUCCUCAUGGCCCUUAUGGGUAGGGCUUCACACGUAA